CCGCUCACCGGGGGGAGCCGCUCGGCGGCUGAGAGGUUCGCAAGAACGACCCCGGAAAACCUGAUCCGGUUAAUGCCGGCGUAGGGACUGGUGGCUCGCUUGGUC
RNAcentral lists this non-coding RNA (105 nucleotides) under Alphaproteobacteria bacterium. RNAcentral describes it as "TPP sequence". It matches the Rfam family "TPP riboswitch aptamer (THI element)". From Rfam's summary of the family: Vitamin B(1) in its active form thiamin pyrophosphate (TPP) is an essential coenzyme that is synthesised by coupling of pyrimidine and thiazole moieties in bacteria. The previously detected thiamin-regulatory element, thi box was extended, resulting in a new, highly conserved RNA secondary structure, the THI element, which is widely distributed in eubacteria and also occurs in some archaea. The record is from RNAcentral. Lineage: Bacteria; Pseudomonadati; Pseudomonadota; Alphaproteobacteria.